GUCGCCGAACCGAUAUUGUGAUUGGUCGAAAAUGCUGACGAGAAAAGUAGAUUUGGGAUUGAAGGUAGUAGCUGAUCCUCUGGUUCUCUCAUUCUCCAGUCCUCCUGAGAAUGGCAGGAGUGUAGAAAACUGCCCCACAGGAUGAUGUGACACCACAACUCCACCUUGGAGGACUGUGUCCCAAACAUGUCACAGGUGUUUGCAAGCACAUCAGAGGGAAAAGAAGAAUUCUGACAUGUGCUUAGUGACUGACAAAGACAAAAAUUUGACUCCCCAGGAUGAAACUCUUAAAAAACCCUUUUGGUCUACUGUU
Scleropages formosus (Asian bonytongue) is the source of this 313-nucleotide long non-coding RNA. RefSeq lists it as uncharacterized. The transcript is spliced from 4 exons. The record is from RefSeq and is a predicted model, not a curated record. NCBI's taxonomy places the organism in Eukaryota, Metazoa, Chordata, Actinopteri, Osteoglossiformes, Osteoglossidae.